RNAcentral lists this ribosomal RNA (253 nucleotides) under uncultured bacterium. Its description in RNAcentral is "partial 16S ribosomal RNA". It matches the Rfam family "Bacterial small subunit ribosomal RNA", at positions 524 to 776 of the family's 1533-position model. The record is from RNAcentral.
UACGGGGGGGGCAAGCGUUGUUCGGAAUCACUGGGCGUAAAGCGCACGUAGGCGGAUUUGCCAGUCAGGGGUGAAAUCCCGGGGCUCAACCUCGGAACUGCCUUUGAUACAGCAAGUCUUGAGUUCGAGAGAGGUGGGUGGAAUUCCUAGUGUAGAGGUGAAAUUCGUAGAUAUUAGGAAGAACACCGGUGGCGAAGGCGGCCCACUGGCUCGACACUGACGCUGAGGUGCGAAAGCGUGGGGAGCAAACAGG